This 465-nucleotide ribosomal RNA is filed under the name uncultured crenarchaeote. RNAcentral's name for it is "bacterial SSU rRNA". It matches the Rfam family "Archaeal small subunit ribosomal RNA", at positions 1 to 474 of the family's 1478-position model. The record is from RNAcentral. Lineage: Archaea; Thermoproteati; Thermoproteota.
CUCCCGUUGAUCCUGCCGGACCCGACUGCUAUCAGAGUGGGACUAAGCCAUGCGAGUCAACGCCGCAAGGCGUGGCAUACGGCUCAGUAACACGUAGUCAACAUGCCCAAGGGACGUGGAUAACCUCGGGAAACUGAGGAUAAACCGCGAUAGGCCAAGAUUUCUGGAAUGGAUCAUGGCUGAAAUCUAUAUGGCCCUUGGAUUGGACUGCGGCCGAUCAGGCUGUUGGUGAGGUAAUGGCCCACCAAACCUAUAACCGGUACGGGCUUUGAGAGAAGGAGCCCGGAGAUGGGCACUGAGACAAGGGCCCAGGCCCUAUGGGGCGCAGCAGGCGCGAAAACUCUGCAAUAGGCGAAAGCUUGACAGGGUUACUCUGAGUGAUGCCCGCUAAGGGCAUCUUUUGGUACCUCUAAAAAUGGUGCAGAAUAAGGGGUGGACAAGUCUGGUGCCAGCAGCCGCGGUAAU